Molecule: non-coding RNA, 507 nt
Organism: Pocillopora verrucosa
Lineage: Eukaryota; Metazoa; Cnidaria; Anthozoa; Scleractinia; Pocilloporidae
Source: RefSeq, a predicted model, not a curated record
AGGAAUCCAGACAGCAGUGUAUGUGCCAAUUUAAGGAUUUCUAGAGAUAAUUUACAGGCAGAAAAUGAAGAGCUGAGGAGAAGUUUGGAGGAACAGCAGCAUUUGUCAAAUAGGAUACUUGAGGAAAAUCGCAGGUUCAGGCUAUUACUGGCUAGGCAAGCAGGUGGUGUUGCUUUUGAAGGAAGCAGUGUAGCUGUAGGAGAGGGCAAUGCAUCAGAUUGCAGCGAGGUUGAACCAGAAGCUGAUGAGCAGCCAGGUCCAUUUCCUUAUCUCCAAAAGUCAGACUUCGAAGAUUCCAGUGAUGACGAGUUCUUUGACGCACUAGACCACUGACUCCUGUUAAUGCAAAGUGAGAUACCAUGUUUGCCUCAGAUGGCAGUUUAUGGGCUGAGAAAAUAAGUUAAUGUUGUAAAUAUUUAAAAACUAGAUGCAUACCUGUAGGUGCUUGUAAUGGUACAACUAGGCGUAAUCUACAUUCAGUUUUUUCACACAUUUCAUGUGGAAUUU